This is a small RNA of Streptococcus pyogenes M1 GAS, 281 nucleotides long. It matches the Rfam family "Streptococcus sRNA 8". The record is from Rfam. NCBI's taxonomy places the organism in Bacteria, Bacillati, Bacillota, Bacilli, Lactobacillales, Streptococcaceae.
ACAUACUGAGCUUCAGUCUUUCAGAACGGAGACACCCCCAGUUUUGUACUCAAAAAGCAUAAACAGCUCUGCUGAUGUGACAUCUGAUUUCUACGUGCGCAGUGAGCCAAAACAGCUGCUGUUUGCUAUGGAAAAAGUGGCGCCAAUCGAGAUUUUUGAGACCCUAGGCUCAAAAAUAAGGCAUAGAAUUCCAAAGGAAGUCGCUGCCGUGAGCACAACCUAAGAAAAACUAUCCCAAAAGACUUUUUCUGCAAUUUGAAAUACUGAAUUUCAGUAUUUUU